AUGGGGCAAGAAAUAAGUGUUCUCUCCCAGGUUCAGCUUCAGCAGUCUGGGUCUGAGCUGGUGAAGCCUGGGUCCCCAGUGAAGAUGUCCUGCAAGGCCCCUGGCUAUACUUUCACCAGAUACUUUAUGCACUGGGUGAAACAGAGGCCUGGGAAUGGCCUUGAGUGGAUUGGAUGGAUUUAUCCUGGAGAUGGUGGUACUAAGUACAAUGAGAAGUUCAAGGACAAGGCCACCUUGACUGUAGACACAUCCUCCAACACAGCCUACAUGCAGCUCAGCAGCCUGACAUCUGAGGACUCUGCGGUUUAUUACUGUAAAAGACACAAUGUGACAACCACAUCUUGA
Molecule: non-coding RNA, 345 nt
Organism: Arvicanthis niloticus (Nile rat)
Lineage: Eukaryota; Metazoa; Chordata; Mammalia; Rodentia; Muridae
Source: the annotation of a RefSeq genome assembly